RNAcentral lists this non-coding RNA (162 nucleotides) under chicken gut metagenome. The record is from RNAcentral.
GCAGCGCGGUGCCUGCUGAUCCGGCAGGAGAAUAGGAAAGAGGGUGCAAGUCCCUCACGGUCACGCCGCUGUAAUGGAGGAGCUCCUCCCCAAUGAUGUCACUGGGCAACCGGGAAGGCGGGGAGGCGUCAGGAUACCAGAGUCAGAAGACCUGCCCGCUGC